UACGUAGGGUGCGAGCGUUGUCCGGAAUUACUGGGCGUAAAGAGCUCGUAGGUGGUUUGUCGCGUUGUUCGUGAAAACUCACAACUCAAUUGUGGGCGUGCGGGCGAUACGGGCAGACUGGAGUACUGCAGGGGAGACUGGAAUUCCUGGUGUAGCGGUGGAAUGCGCAGAUAUCAGGAGGAACACCGGUGGCGAAGGCGGGUCUCUGGGCCGAUACUGACGCUGAGGAGCGAAAGCGUGGGGAGCAAACAGG
This 253-nucleotide ribosomal RNA is filed under the name uncultured bacterium. Its description in RNAcentral is "partial 16S ribosomal RNA". It matches the Rfam family "Bacterial small subunit ribosomal RNA", at positions 524 to 776 of the family's 1533-position model. The record is from RNAcentral.